This 253-nucleotide ribosomal RNA is filed under the name uncultured bacterium. Its description in RNAcentral is "partial 16S ribosomal RNA". It matches the Rfam family "Bacterial small subunit ribosomal RNA", at positions 524 to 776 of the family's 1533-position model. The record is from RNAcentral.
UACAGAGGUGGUAAGCGUUGUUCGGAAUUACUGGGCGUAAAGGGCGCGUAGGCGGUCCGAUAAGUCCCGUGUGAAAUCCCUCGGCUCAACUGAGGAAUGGCACGGGAAACUGCCGGGCUUGAGUUCGGGAGAGGGAAGCGGAAUUCCGGGUGUAGCGGUGAAAUGCGUAGAUAUCCGGAGGAACACCGGUGGCGAAGGCGGCUUCCUGGACCGACACUGACGCUGAGGCGCGAAAGCUAGGGGAGCAAACGGG